Long non-coding RNA from Nymphaea colorata (pocket water lily), 334 nucleotides. RefSeq lists it as uncharacterized. The transcript is spliced from 3 exons. The record is from RefSeq and is a predicted model, not a curated record. NCBI's taxonomy places the organism in Eukaryota, Viridiplantae, Streptophyta, Magnoliopsida, Nymphaeales, Nymphaeaceae.
GGACUCGUAAUCGAGAAUAAUAAUGAUAAGGCUCGAAUGUCAGAUACUUUCUCAAGACCAGAGGUUCCAUCCAUCCUUUCUUGGAUGUAACUGUGAAUGUCGAGCAAUAUAUCCACCUCUGCAAGAAAGAGAGAAAGAGGUACGGCAAAGAGAGGAUGCCCUUCUGCCUGAUGCAAGCUCUCUUGGUUGAUAUAGGCAGGCUGUUCGAUAUGCAGAUGGAGAUGGAUCGUGGGAAAAUGUGAUUUUUUCUUCUUUCAAAACGCAAGAACAAAUUAUUCUGUGUUUGGUGUACCUUAUUCUUUACUUACAAAUUAACGACACAGAGUUUCAAUGA